Molecule: ribosomal RNA, 527 nt
Filed under: Gammarellus angulosus
Lineage: Eukaryota; Metazoa; Arthropoda; Malacostraca; Amphipoda; Gammarellidae
Description: partial 16S ribosomal RNA
Rfam family: Bacterial large subunit ribosomal RNA
Source: RNAcentral
CGCCUGUUUAUCAAAAACAUUUUUUUAUAAAUUGAAUAGGAUAAGGCCUGCCCAGUGAAAGUUUAACGGCUGCGGUAUCCUGACCGUGCUAAGGUAGCAUAAUCAUUUGUUUUUUAAUUGAAAACUGGCAUGAAAGGUUUAACAAAAGUUAUUUUCUUUUGUUUAAUAAAUAAAAUUGUAUUUUUAGUAAAAAUACUUAAAUAAUAUUGAGGGACGAUAAGACCCUAAAAGCUUUAUUUUAAAACAAGAUUUUUUAUUUUUACAAAGAUGUGAUAUAAUUUUACUGGGGUAGUAGCUUUAAUAAAAUUAAAGCAUUAAUAAACAAAAUAACUGAAUUUUGUUCCUUUAUAUAAGGAAAAUUAGAGUAAGUUACUUUAGGGAUAACAGCGUAAUAACUUUGGAGAGACCAUAUCUAUAGAGUUGAUUGCGACCUCGAUGUUGAAUUAAAAUAUCUACGUGAAGCAGAAAGCACAUAAGAAGGUUUGUUCAACCUUUAAAUUUUUACAUGAUCUGAGUUCAAACCGGAG